Triticum aestivum (bread wheat) is the source of this 830-nucleotide long non-coding RNA. RefSeq lists it as uncharacterized. The transcript has 2 exons. The record is from RefSeq and is a predicted model, not a curated record. Lineage: Eukaryota; Viridiplantae; Streptophyta; Magnoliopsida; Poales; Poaceae.
GAAAAAAAAAGUCACUCCCGAGGUGAAAAAAAGGGCCAACUCCCUCGUCCAAUUCUAAUCUGGGGUGAGUCAUCUCAAAAGAAAAAGAAUCAGGGGCGGAGUAGAUGAGGGGUGUGUGCGCCGAGCGGCGGUUGGGCUCCGGCGUCGUGGAACGCAGCGGGCCGAGCCGUCGUGCUGCGACGUUGGUGGUACUUGGCGUCAGGGCUUCUUCAUGAUACGGGGGCAUCUCCCGUGUGGACGGCGCCUCGUCGGCCGAGUCGCCGGCGACGAAUACUCGGCCAAAGAUGGGCCCACUCCAUGAACCAGGUGCUGGCGGCGUCCUCGGCUGGACGGCGAGCUGGUCGUGGUUGGGCGGCGCAGGAGUCGUGUCUGCUGCUUGAAGAGUAUCAGGGUACGGUGGUGGUUGGCAUUCUGCUUGAUGCGUGCUGCAUCUCCUCCCACAACAACGGCCGGCAGUUAGGUGUUUGCAGCCGGACUUCUUCAGUAUCGCACCCUCUCCGUCAUUUUACACGAGUAUGUCUUGAUUUACUCUCCCAUGCCACGUACCUGCUUGAAUUAAGUUAGAUUGGGUAAGAAUACUAGGCAGCAGAAUUUGGAUGGAUUACAUCCCCAAAUAUAGUUGUUUUGGGCAUAGCUAUCCUACAACCUUAGUGCUCAGACUGUCAUAAUUUCUUUUGCCCAGUUUGUAUGUGCUUAGUGACAGGCCUUCUUGUUCUUGUGUAUAUAUUUGUAUGAUUAUUGUAUAACUCUAUUCUAGCCAGAAGUUGCAGACUUACAAUACAUAUGAUAUAGUGAAGAUAUGACUUCUUUCGUCUUUUUUAGAAAAAUAA